This is a small nucleolar RNA of Chinchilla lanigera (long-tailed chinchilla), 138 nucleotides long. Ensembl annotates it as small nucleolar RNA, H/ACA box 47. Its record names the gene SNORA47. NCBI's taxonomy places the organism in Eukaryota, Metazoa, Chordata, Mammalia, Rodentia, Chinchillidae. The record is from Ensembl.
UGGAGGCCUGAGAAAGUGAGGCAGUUCUGUACCAUGCUGCCUUCCACCGGUUAAGGCCUCCAACAGCAAACAGCUGCCUACACAGAGAGUGUCCCUUUGCCACCCUCAGAGGGGCAGCGCUGUCCUGGCCGACAUUUG